CAGUAGCCACGGUAAUACGUAGGUGGCGAGCGUUGUCCGGACUUAUUGGGCGUAAAGGGAGUGUAGGCGGUCUUUUAAGUCUGAUGUGAAAGCCCACGGCUCAACCGUGGAGGGUCAUUGGAAACUGGGAGACUUGAGUGCAGAAGAGGAGAGCGGAAUUCCAUGUGUAGCGGUGAAAUGCGUAGAUAUAUGGAGGAACACCAGUGGCGAAGGCGGCUCUCUGGUCUGUAACUGAUGCUGAGGCUCGAAAGCGUGGGGAGCAAACAGGAUUAGAUACCCCAGUAGUCCCUGUCUCUUAUAC
Molecule: ribosomal RNA, 301 nt
Filed under: uncultured bacterium
Lineage: Bacteria
Description: partial 16S ribosomal RNA
Rfam family: Bacterial small subunit ribosomal RNA
Source: RNAcentral